AUGGAUAACUUACCAGAAGGGUCAAAGAAAGUUGUCAUGCCACUGAGGUUUUCUAUCAAUUUACAGCAGGGUAUCUACAAUACGAAUGAGAUAAACAAGAAGUUUGAACACAAGAACCGUCUCGACAAGAAAGAUUUGGUCAUGCUGUCAGUGCUUGAGUGCGAUAAUGUAAACGGCCGCGAAGGAGGCAGGCAUUAUUGGGUCUUCAACAUCAACCUGAGGGACGGACGUUUCGAAGUCCUUGAUUCAAACAGAAAGCUAGAAGACAUUGAGUUGAUGGACACCGCCUCUACGAUUGCGGGGGUAGUACACCAGCUAUGGAGGAAGCAUUACCCAAAGCAGAGCAUCGAGCACUUCCAGCUUAUUAACAUCGACGUACCGAAGCAGAUUAAUUAG
This 396-nucleotide ribosomal RNA is filed under the name Triticum aestivum (bread wheat). RNAcentral describes it as "partial small subunit ribosomal RNA". The record is from RNAcentral. Lineage: Eukaryota; Viridiplantae; Streptophyta; Magnoliopsida; Poales; Poaceae.